GAACAUAUGGUUAUAAGGAGUAGUAGGUAAACUUACUUUUUUAGAGAGUCGAUGGUUGGUGUAAAUCGAUAAAGCAAGAUGCUGAACUUGCCUUAAAUAAGUACCAUAAGGGUGGUUUCCUUUACAGACUACUAUAAGUGGACUUUCAGUCAAUUAGGGUGGUACCGCGGGAAUUUCCCGUCCCUAAA
RNAcentral lists this non-coding RNA (188 nucleotides) under Alkaliphilus metalliredigens. Its description in RNAcentral is "T-box sequence". It matches the Rfam family "T-box leader". From Rfam's summary of the family: Uncharged tRNA acts as the effector for transcription antitermination of genes in the T-box leader family. T-boxes are found upstream of many aminoacyl-tRNA synthetase genes and some amino acid biosynthetic genes usually in Gram-positive bacteria. The record is from RNAcentral. Lineage: Bacteria; Bacillati; Bacillota; Clostridia; Peptostreptococcales; Natronincolaceae.